This 2617-nucleotide long non-coding RNA is filed under the name Homo sapiens (human). RNAcentral describes it as "HSALNT0239878". Lineage: Eukaryota; Metazoa; Chordata; Mammalia; Primates; Hominidae. The record is from RNAcentral.
AUGGGUCUGAGGUGGAAGAAACGGUCCUGUGGAUGAGUCAGCAGCUGCCACAGCAGAAAGCAUUUGUGGCCGCUCUGUGCAAAGACGCUGGGUAUUUCUUUUGCUGUUAUCUUAUAGUUUGAGUGGUUUGGAGGAAAAGGCAGAAGCAUGUGGACAGCAGCUCCUCAUGAUUACUUCAUUCGGGGAGGCAGCAUGCUGUGCUGAAAAGUGUUCUGGCUUUGGUGGCAAAGAGAUCAGCUUUGCCAUUUACCAACUGCUUGAUGUGGGACACAUUUCAUCUCUCAAAGACCCAGUUUCCAUGCAUUUGAAAUAAGGAUACAAUAUUUACUUCAGAAAGCUGUUAUGAAGAGUAAAUGCAGAUGUGAAAUUUACAGAUAUUUCCACCUCAUCUGCUCCAGCCAGUACUGCAGUGGGAAGGUCAUGCACUGCACAGUGAUUGCCAGUAGAUGGCGCAAUGGGCCUGCCGCCAUCCCAGGCUUUGUUUCUGAACCCAGCGGGAGAGGGAGAUGACAGAAAUCUUUAUUGCAAACUGGGGGACACCAUUAGCUACAGUGGCCUCCUGGGAUCACCAUUUGCAAUAUAAGCCCAGUGACUUAAAGGAGAGAGUGGAGAGGAAUCAUGGUAAGGCUUGUAACUCCAAGGAUGAAGAACAACCAGGGCUUGGGGAUGGGUGAAGAAUCUUCUGAAGAAGUGACCUGGCUACUCUUAUAAAGUGUCAGGUGUCAUGGGUUCAGCCAUCUCACACUAUUUAAAGUGGGGGACCCGUCCUUCACUGAUGGAGUGGACAGGUGAUCAGAGAACCAUCCCACCAAGAGAAAGACCCUCUUGAGGCCCUCCAUCUCUGCAUGUCAGGUUCACAGUAAGUCUUAACGGUGCCAAACAUAAGCCCUUAUGCCACUCUUCUCUUCUCUUAUCACCUUUGCACCCUUCUCCAACCCACACACAUGCAUACACUGGGCCCCUGACUUCCCUCUUCCUAGCUUCUCUUUCUGCUAUUAACUGGCAGUUGCUGCCUAAACUCGCCAACCACCUUGAGAGUUGUGAGAGGAUAGCCCGGCAGCCUGUAGCUGUAUGCUGGGGGUGGGGAGGGCUGAAAGGAAGAGGACGUCCACCCUCCCAAUGUCAAGUUGCUGAGUGAAGUCUCCUUUGAUGACAAUGCAGUAGGGCUAAAGUGGACUAAAAUUUGCUUUCUCUCUCUCAGGCUGUGAGACAGAGCAUAGAACCUGUGUCAGGUCACAGGAGAGUGAUCCCCCAACACUUUGGGCCAUGUUCCAACCCUGCCUGCCCCAAUUCCCAUUGUGUAAAAUCCAUCUGCAACCUAUGCCAGCCUUCCAGAAUGCAGAGGGACCCUGGGAAGAGCUGGAGAAGAGAAGAGGAAGAAGGAUGGGAGACGGAAGAUUCUCAGUUGGAAAAAAAAACAGCAGCAAGAAACUUUGUUUACCUUGUUGGUCAGAUUAAAUUUCUGCCACCAAAAGAAAUCGAGAUUGAAAAGCUAAGUUUAAUUAUGGAGAAAAUAAAGUUACAUUUUUUUUUGCACAACAAAGUCAUUGACUAUGAAAUUUAUAAGCAUCAUAUGAAACAGACAAUCUUAUGAAACUUACCAAGGAUGUUUCCAGCAACCCCUUGUUUAGGGAACAGAGUAAAGGGGAGAAAAGGUAGCAUUUUCAAAUCUCAAGAAAGUGUUUUAUGUCAGAAUUCAAUUUGUCCCAGAGCACAGCUGUCAAGAGCUUUGUAAAUCUAGGCCUCUAGGAGGAGAGGGCUAAAGCACUUUCAGGAUAAAGGCUAGAAGCCUAAGGCCCUGAUCAUUUGGGCAAUCCUUGUUAUUGCAUUUGUUGUUCCAUUCUCUGACACUUCUAAAAGGCUGUGGAAUCUCCAGAUGUGUUCAUAAAAUAGUGGUAGCAAUUAUUCAUUGCUUCUAGGAAAGGGAAAUGGAUAUGUUACCAACAAAGCCAGUCCCCAUACAAAUGGAGUCUUUCCCCGUUUAGUGCUGUGAAGCCAAUAUACAAAACCAAAAGUGAGUGUCAAGUAGUGCAGGCUUUAUUCCAUGGCCACUGUAUUAGUCAGGGUUCUCUUAGAGGGACAGAACUAAUAGGAUAGAUGAUAGAUAGAUGAUAGAUAGAGAGAUAGAUAGAUAGAGAGAUAGACAGAUAUAAAGGGAAUUUAUUAAGUAUCAACUUACAUGAUCACGAGGUCCCACAAUAGGCUGUCUGCAAGCUGAGGAGCAAGAAGGGCCAGUCCAAGUCCCCAGACUGAAGAACUUGGAGUCCGAUGUUCAAAGGCAGGAAGCAUCCAGCAUGGGAGAAAGAUGUAGGCUGUGAGGCUAGGUCCAUCUCUCCUUUUCACGUUUUUCUGCCUGCUUUAUAUUCACUGGCAGCUGAUUAGAUUGUACCCACCAGAUUAAGGGUGGAUCUGCCUUCCCCAGUGCACUGACUCAAGUGUUAAUUUCUUUUGGCAACACCCACAGGCACACCCAGGAUUAAUACUUUGUAACCCUCAAUCCAAUCAAGUUGACACUCAGUAUUAACCAUCACAAGUCCACCCCUUGUCAACCUGAACCCAUACACAUCUCCUGAGAUCAUACAUAAUCUUCAAAUAAAGACAAUAAUGAGGUCAUAAU